CGCACGAGCGCACCCUUAUCCUUAGUUGCCAGCACGUAAUGGUGGGAACUCUAAGGAGACUGCCGGUGACAAACCGGAGGAAGGUGGGGACGACGUCAAGUCAUCAUGGCCCUUACGAGAUGGGCUACACACGUGCUACAAUGGCAAGUACAAAGGGUUGCAAACUCGCGAGAGUAAGCGGAUCCCAUAAAGCUUGUCGUAGUCCGGAUUGGAGUCUGCAACUCGACUCCAUGAAGUCGGAAUCGCUAGUAAUCGUGGAUCAGAAUGCCACGGUGAAUACGUUCCCGGGCCUUGUACACACCGCCCGUCACACCAUGGGAGUGGGCUGCGAAGAAGUGGAUAGCUUAACCUUCGGGAGGGCGUUCACCACUUUGUGGUUCAUGACUGGGGCGAAGUCGUAACAAGGUAGCCGUAGGGGAACCUGCGGCUGGAUCACCUCCUU
RNAcentral lists this ribosomal RNA (442 nucleotides) under uncultured Gammaproteobacteria bacterium. RNAcentral's name for it is "bacterial SSU rRNA". It matches the Rfam family "Bacterial small subunit ribosomal RNA", at positions 1088 to 1532 of the family's 1533-position model. Lineage: Bacteria; Pseudomonadati; Pseudomonadota; Gammaproteobacteria. The record is from RNAcentral.